RNAcentral lists this ribosomal RNA (395 nucleotides) under uncultured bacterium. Its description in RNAcentral is "partial 16S ribosomal RNA". It matches the Rfam family "Bacterial small subunit ribosomal RNA", at positions 338 to 730 of the family's 1533-position model. The record is from RNAcentral.
CCUACGGGAGACAGCAGUGAGGAAUAUUGGUCAAUGGGCGCGAGCCUGAACCAGCCAAGUAGCGUGAAGGAAGACUGCCCUACGGGUUGUAAACUUCUUUUAUAAAGGAAUAAAGUGAGGCACGUGUGCCUUUUUGUAUGUACUUUAUGAAUAAGGAUCGGCUAACUCCGUGCCAGCAGCCGCGGUAAUACGGAGGAUUCGAGCGUUAUCCGGAUUUAUUGGGUUUAAAGGGGGCGGAGAGGGGUUGUUAAGUCAGUUGGUAAAGUUUGGGGCUCAACCGUAACAUAGCUAUUGAUACUGGUAUUCUUGAGUGAGGUAGAGGUAGGCGGAAUGCGUGGUGUAGCGGGGAAAUGCAUAGAUAUCACGAAGAACUCCGAUUGCGAAGGCAGCAUACC